UCCCAUAUGGUCUAGCGUUAGAGGAUUCCUGGUUUUCACCCAGGCGGCCCGGUUCAACUCCAGUAUUGGGA
RNAcentral lists this transfer RNA (71 nucleotides) under Astyanax mexicanus (Mexican tetra). It matches the Rfam family "tRNA". Rfam says of the family: Transfer RNA (tRNA) molecules are approximately 80 nucleotides in length. The record is from Rfam by way of RNAcentral. Lineage: Eukaryota; Metazoa; Chordata; Actinopteri; Characiformes; Acestrorhamphidae.